This 930-nucleotide ribosomal RNA is filed under the name Tridacna maxima. Its description in RNAcentral is "bacterial SSU rRNA". The stretch from base 1 to 729 matches the Rfam family "Eukaryotic small subunit ribosomal RNA", at positions 1124 to 1831 of the family's 1831-position model. Lineage: Eukaryota; Metazoa; Mollusca; Bivalvia; Cardiida; Cardiidae. The record is from RNAcentral.
UACGGUUGCAAAGCUGAAACUUAAAGGAAUUGACGGAAGGGCACCACCAGGAGUGGAGCCUGUGGCUUAAUUUGACUCAACACGGGAAACCUCACCCGGUCCGGACACUGGAAGGAUUGACAGACUAAAGCUCUUUCUUGAUUCAGUGGGUGGUGGUGCAUGGCCGUUCUUAGUUGGUGGAGUGAUUUGUCUGGUUAAUUCCGAUAACGAACGAGACUCUCGCCUGCUAAAUAGUUUUCCAUACGUUACUUUAUGGAACCUAAAACUUCUUAGAGGUACAAGUGGCGUUUAGCCACACGAAACAGAGCAAUAACAGGUCUGUGAUGCCCUUAGAUGUCCGGGGCCGCACAUGUGCUACAAUGAAUGCAUCAACGUGUAUCAGCCUCGCCCGAAAGGGUUGGGGAAUCCGCUGAACGGCAUUCUCAGUAGGGAUUGGGGAUUGCAAUUAUUUCCCAUGAACACGGAAUUCCCAGUAGGCGCCAGUCAUCAGCUGGCGUCGAUUGAGUCCCUGCCCUUUGUACACACCGCCCGUCGCUACUACCGAUCGCUCUUGUUAAUGAGCUUGUCGGAUUGGACCCGGUGAGCAGUCGUUGCGCUUCAUCUCCUCGCGGGGUGGGCCUUCGUCUGCGAGCUUUUGGUGUAUGCCGAGAAGAUCGGCAAAUUAUCUGGAGUAGAGGAAGUAAAAGUCGUAACAAGGUAUCCGUAGGUGAACCUGCGGAUGNNNNNNNNNNUUUAAAAAUCGGCGGUCACCACCAAAAUAUAUGUCGUAUACAAUAGACACGAUAGGUGGAUGUCCGCGAGGGUUGCUUCUCGGUAGAAAGAUACAUACAAAAAGUAAAAGAGAAGCCGCCGAGUGGCGAGUUGUUGAAAGUAGCCCAGCGAAACAACGGAACAAACCCUCGGAAUAAGAAAGAAAAAGACGUGCUGUAC